GAACUCUGACUCACAGAUCUUGUCUGAGCUCAUGGAUCUUGUCUGAGCUCGGUCCCCAUCUAUUGAAGCCUAUUAAGCACUGUGAUAGACGAUAGCCAUUUCUAUUCAAAUCACAGUGGAGGGAUUGACCCAGGCUCCACCGCCAGGUUUGUCAUGGGCUCCACCACUGGAAAUCAUGGUGGAUGCCUCUUCAGUAAAAUGGCCAAAAAAGAAGAAUGUGGAAUAUUUAGGAGACAGCAGGUUCCAUUUUUCCCCAAACUGUGGCAUUGUUCAUCUACUUGGGACCAUACCCUUGAAGACCAUUGAGUCACCCUCCUUCAGAAGCCAUCGACUGUUGAUAGUGCCUUAGUUAGGGGUGGGGGCUAAUAAACCACCUCCACCUCUA
This is a long non-coding RNA of Peromyscus leucopus (white-footed mouse), 385 nucleotides long. RefSeq lists it as uncharacterized. The transcript is spliced from 2 exons. Lineage: Eukaryota; Metazoa; Chordata; Mammalia; Rodentia; Cricetidae. The record is from RefSeq and is a predicted model, not a curated record.